Molecule: transfer RNA, 72 nt
Organism: Ovis aries (sheep)
Lineage: Eukaryota; Metazoa; Chordata; Mammalia; Artiodactyla; Bovidae
Rfam family: tRNA
About the family: Transfer RNA (tRNA) molecules are approximately 80 nucleotides in length. Their secondary structure includes four short double-helical elements and three loops (D, anti-codon, and T loops). Further hydrogen bonds mediate the characteristic L-shaped molecular structure. tRNAs have two regions of fundamental functional importance: the anti-codon, which is responsible for specific mRNA codon recognition, and the 3' end, to which the tRNAs corresponding amino acid is attached (by aminoacyl-tRNA synthetases). tRNAs cope with the degeneracy of the genetic code in two manners: having more than one tRNA (with a specific anti-codon) for a particular amino acid; and 'wobble' base-pairing, i.e. permitting non-standard base-pairing at the 3rd anti-codon position.
Source: Rfam
UCCCUGGUGACUGAGAUGGUAAAGAAUCUGCCUGCAAUGCAGAAAAUGCGGGUUCGAUCCCUGGGUUGGGAA